RNAcentral lists this ribosomal RNA (495 nucleotides) under uncultured bacterium. RNAcentral describes it as "partial 16S ribosomal RNA". It matches the Rfam family "Bacterial small subunit ribosomal RNA", at positions 28 to 507 of the family's 1533-position model. The record is from RNAcentral.
GACGAACGCUGGCGGCGUGCCUAAUACAUGCAAGUAGAACGCUGAAGGAGGAGCUUGCUUCUCUGGAUGAGUUGCGAACGGGUGAGUAACGCGUAGGUAACCUGCCUGGUAGCGGGGGAUAACUAUUGGAAACGAUAGCUAAUACCGCAUAAUAGCAGUUAUUGCAUGAUAACUGUUUGAAAGGUGCAAUUGCACCACUACCAGAUGGACCUGCGUUGUAUUAGCUAGUUGGUGGGGUAACGGCUCACCAAGGCGACGAUACAUAGCCGACCUGAGAGGGGGAUCGGCCACACUGGGACUGAGACACGGCCCAGACUCCUACGGGAGGCAGCAGUAGGGAAUCUUCGGCAAUGGACGGAAGUCUGACCGAGCAACGCCGCGUGAGUGAAGAAGGGUUUCGGAUCGUAAAGCUCUGUUGUAAGAGAAGAACGAGUGUGAGAGUGGAAAGUUCACACUGUGACGGUAUCUUACCAGAAAGGGACGGCUAACUACGUG